Molecule: long non-coding RNA, 1110 nt
Filed under: Mus musculus (house mouse)
Lineage: Eukaryota; Metazoa; Chordata; Mammalia; Rodentia; Muridae
Description: LIM homeobox 1, opposite strand
Source: RNAcentral
AGAGGAUCAGUGGCGGCGGGCCCGCGCGGUGCCGGCGACUAGCAGCGAGAUGUCCUGGCCCCUUCCAGGUUUGGGAGAAUGGAGAGAGCAAGGUGUAGCUGAUUAGCAAGUUAAUUAUUUCAGUACCCCAAGGGUUCAUGCGUGGUGGAGAUGGCCUUGGGAGAGCAACCUCCGGACCUCAGCAGUGUGAGGAUGACAACAGUACCCUGUGGUGCUGUCCCCACUCAGGGUUUCUCUCUGUAGCCCCGACUGUCCUGGAACUCACUCUGCAGACCAGGCUGUCCUCAAGCUCAGAGAUCUACCUGCCUCUGCCUCUGAAGUACUGGGAUUAAAGAUGCAGAGGCCUCCCAGAGAAGUGUGAAGGAAUGGGCCUUAACCAGGGUUGAAGAAAGAAAGUGAAGAAGGGGAGAGCCCAAGGAAAGGGUCUGGUACAGAAGAGGGAGCCCAGAUAUGGUACAGAAGCCUUGGAUCCUAAAUCUUGGGCUGGAGAGCCCCUCCUCAGCCUGCUUUCCCUGGGCCUGGGGAACAUCACACCCCAGGAUGCCCCAGAACAUGAUGGAUUCCCCAGGUACCUUCAAAGGGCCCAGCAUUUGUUUGCAGUGUGGACCUUGAAUCUUGCUCUGGUCAUAAACGUUGUUUAUUUUGACGAGGACCUACUGAAAGGGGGCUGUGGAGCAGGAAGGGCAAAGAGAAAUCAAUGGGGGAAGAUCAUAAAGCCAUUAGCGGGGUAGGGCUUGUAGGGGUCAUAGGAUCAUAGAAAUUUUCUGGCUAGAGAGAACACAGGCCACCAGAAAGGUCAGAGAUGGUCAUUAUGUCAUCAAGAGGCCUCUAAGGGCCACAUGGGGCUAGAGGUGGGGCUUGAGGCCUCUUAUGUGAAGAAUCUUCCUAGAAAAUGGAUGUAGGGUAUGGGGCAUGACCCCCCAGUAACCUUCUACCAGGUGGGGGAGGCUGGGGGUUGCUAAACGUGAUGGAUUUGCCCUCCUAGGGUGAAGAACCAACUGCCAGUUACAUAGCAGAUCCUCCUGCUUUGGGGAAUGGGCACAGCUCCUGGGUAAAGAAUUUUGCCUCUACUGUUAUUUACUGAAAUAUAUAUAUAUAUCAGGUGCUGUA